UUAACAUUUAUCUCUGCUAUAAUAGCAAUUAAAUGUCUAUGUAAGUUUUAGUAGAGAUACACAUACAAAUGCUCUACUUCUUGUUGUUUGAAAAGGAAUUACAGAAGUGGGCAUAAACACAGCAUAACUUCACUACUGUGUCAGGGAAAGAAAGGAGGCUUGGAAGUUAUUCUGGCUUAAGAGAAGGACACAACCCAGAAAAAUGCUUAGCUACUGAAGAAAAGCAUUAGAACACAAUCCAAAAGUGGAGCUGUGUGAGGAGAAUUUUGAGUGCUUGUGAGAAAACUAUAAGAAAGCAAGAAAUGGGUCUUGUGACCCCAGUUUCUUCAAAACACAAAAUUGUUCUUAGAUUAUGCUUCCAUGCCCCCUCAAAGGAGUGGAUAGGAGUGAAUUUGUUCAGAUUAUUCAUUACAACUGCUUAGAGUUAUUGGCUUUUCUGUCUCUUUGCAGAAACAUGUUUUUGACCCAUGAGGCUUGUCCUUGUGAUCAGACACUUUACUCAGUUGACCCUCAGAGUCUGAAGCUCAGAAUAAAGUUCGCUAUUGUAUAAGACUUCAGCUUGCCUCAUUUACUGACUCUGUUCUCCCAGGUCAUACUGCCUCUAGAACAGUAAACAAAAAGAGGCUUAAAAAUAGAUAAGGAGAGAGUGGACAGCUUUUUAUCUUGUUCCUGAUUUUAGUGGAAUGGCUUUGAGUUUCUCUCCAUUUAGUUUGAUGUUGGCUGUUGGCUUCCUAUACAUUGACUUUAUUAUGCUUAGGUAUGUUCCUUGUAUUCCUGAUCUCUCCAAGACUUUUAUCAUGAAGUGGUGUUGGGUUUUGUCGAAGGCUUUUUCAGCAUCUAAUGAGACGAUCAUGUGUUUUUUUUCUUUCAGUUUGUUUAUAUGGUGAAUUACAUUGCCAGAUUUCCAUAUGUUGAACCAACCCUGCAUCUCUAGGAUGAAGCCUACUUGGUCAUGGUGGAUGAUUUUUUAAAAUGUGUUCUUGGAUUUGGUUUGCCAGUAUUUUAUUGAGUAUUUUUGCAUCGAUGUUCACGAGGGAGAUUGAGCCCUCAUCCAGUGGCUGAUGGAAGCAGAGACAGAUAUCCACAGAUAUACACUGAGUUGAAAUCUGGAAUUUAGUUGAAGAGAGGGAGGAAUGAAGAGCAAAGGGAUCUGUGCCAGGCUGGAGAAACCCACAGGAACAGUUGGCCAGAACAAGGGAGAGCACAUCGACCUCAGAUGCUGUUGGGGAGGUCAGUACAAGACUGAUCCAGACCCCUGAACAUGGAUGUCAAUAAGGAGGCCUCUGCACUCCAGGGAGACUCUGGUGGUGGAUUAGUAUUUUUCCCUGGUGCAAGAAGGGACUUUGAGAGCCCAUCCCAUGUGAAGGGUUAUACUCUGGCCCUGGACACAUGGGGAAGGGCCCAGAACCAGCACAGGAAGAUUUGGUGGACUUUGCAGAGCCCCCAUUGAGGGCCCUACCCUGCCUGGGGAGUGGUGGGUGGAUGGGGUGGGGG
This 1494-nucleotide long non-coding RNA is filed under the name Cricetulus griseus (Chinese hamster). RNAcentral describes it as "lncRNA (ENSCGRG00015041772.1)". Lineage: Eukaryota; Metazoa; Chordata; Mammalia; Rodentia; Cricetidae. The record is from RNAcentral.